RNAcentral lists this ribosomal RNA (417 nucleotides) under Glaucilla marginata. Its description in RNAcentral is "Glaucus marginatus partial 16S ribosomal RNA". It matches the Rfam family "Archaeal large subunit ribosomal RNA", at positions 1935 to 2665 of the family's 2987-position model. The record is from RNAcentral. Lineage: Eukaryota; Metazoa; Mollusca; Gastropoda; Nudibranchia; Glaucidae.
AUAUUACUGGUUCACCCUGCCCAAUGUUAUAAUGAAUGGCCGCGGUACUUUGACCGUGCUAAGGUAGCGUAAUCAGUUGUCUUUUAAAUGGAGUCAGGAAUGAAUGGGAUAACCUGGUCUAGCUGUCUUAAGACUACUCAAUUGAAUUUACUGUUUAAGUGAAAAAGCUUAAUCGAAAAAAAGGGACGAGAAGACCCUUAGAAUUUUAUCUAAAAAGAAUGACCUUUGCGAUUUUGUUGGGGCGACAGAGAGAUAUCGUGAACUCUCUCGUGAUACAAUCCGAAUUUUUUAAUCAAGAAUAAAUUACCUGAGGGAUAACAGCAUAAUUCAAAAACUGAGUUUGUGACCUCGAUGUUGGACUAGGAAACUAGCAGGCCAGCCGUUUGCUAUGUGGGUUCUGUUCGAACUUUUAUUCCU